This 464-nucleotide ribosomal RNA is filed under the name uncultured bacterium. RNAcentral's name for it is "partial 16S ribosomal RNA". It matches the Rfam family "Bacterial small subunit ribosomal RNA", at positions 29 to 507 of the family's 1533-position model. The record is from RNAcentral.
ACGAACGCUGGCGGCGUGCUUAACACAUGCAAGUCGAACGGAAAGGCCCCCUUGUGGGGUACUCGAGUGGCGAACGGGUGAGUAACACGUGAGUAACCUACCCUUGACUUUGGGAUAACUUCAGGAAACUGGGGCUAAUACCGGAUAGGAGCUCCUGCUACAUGGUGGGGGUUGGAAAGUUUCGGCGGUUGGGGAUGGACUCGCGGCUUAUCAGCUUGUUGGUGGGGUAGUGGCUCACCAAGGCUUUGACGGGUAGCCGGCCUGAGAGGGUGACCGGCCACAUUGGGACUGAGAUACGGCCCAGACUCCUACGGGAGGCAGCAGUGGGGAAUAUUGCACAAUGGGCGGAAGCCUGAUGCAGCAACGCCGCGUGCGGGAUGACGGCCUUCGGGUUGUAAACCGCUUUCGCCUGUGACGAAGCGUGAGUGACGGUAAUGGGUAAAGAAGCACCGGCUAACUACGUG